This 68-nucleotide transfer RNA is filed under the name Marmota monax (woodchuck). RNAcentral describes it as "tRNA.Ala". The stretch from base 5 to 65 matches the Rfam family "tRNA", at positions 6 to 65 of the family's 71-position model. From Rfam's summary of the family: Transfer RNA (tRNA) molecules are approximately 80 nucleotides in length. Their secondary structure includes four short double-helical elements and three loops (D, anti-codon, and T loops). Lineage: Eukaryota; Metazoa; Chordata; Mammalia; Rodentia; Sciuridae. The record is from RNAcentral.
GGCCUGUGGCUCAGUGGUAGAGCACUUGCCUAGCAUGUGUGAGGCACUGGGUUCAAUUCUCAGCACCA